GUACGGGAGGCAGCAGUUAGGAAUUUUGCGCAAUGGGCGAAAGCCUGACGCAGCAACGCCGCGUGAGGGAUGAAGGUCUUCGGAUCGUAAACCUCUUUUAGCAGGGAAGAAACAAAUGACGGUACCUGCAGAAAAAGCACCGGCUAACUCUGUGCCAGCAGCCGCGGUAAUACAGAGGGUGCAAGCGUUAUUCGGAAUUACUGGGCGUAAAGAGCGCGUAGGCUGUUUGAUAAGUUUGAUGUGAAAGCCCUGGACUCAAUUCAGGAAGUGCAUCGAAUACUGUCAGACUAGAGUAUAGGAGGGGAGAACGGAAUUCCUGGUGUAGAGGUGAAAUUCGUAGAUAUCAGGAGGAACAACAGUGGCGAAGGCGGUUCUCUGGACUAUAACUGACGCUGAGGCGCGAAAGUGUGGGGAGCAAACAGGAUUAGAUACCCGGGUAGUCCC
This 444-nucleotide ribosomal RNA is filed under the name uncultured bacterium. RNAcentral describes it as "bacterial SSU rRNA". It matches the Rfam family "Bacterial small subunit ribosomal RNA", at positions 339 to 797 of the family's 1533-position model. The record is from RNAcentral.